Long non-coding RNA from Carcharodon carcharias (great white shark), 826 nucleotides. RefSeq lists it as uncharacterized. The record is from RefSeq and is a predicted model, not a curated record. NCBI's taxonomy places the organism in Eukaryota, Metazoa, Chordata, Chondrichthyes, Lamniformes, Lamnidae. The transcript has 2 exons.
CAGUUAAGAGUCAACCACAUUGCUGUAGGUUUGGAGUCACAUUAGGCAAGACCAGUUGCUAAAUGGCCACACUAUUUGAUAUACGUGAUCUUAAUGAUGCAGAAGAAAUGGUAGCGUACAACUGGAUCUCACAGUUAUAGGGAGUGAAGACCACAGCUGUUAACAGGCUGACUUAAUGUGCUAAAAACAAAAAACUGCGGAUGCUGGAAAUCCAAAACAAAAGCAGAAUUACCUGGAAAACCUCAGCAGGUCUGGCAGCAUCGACAGAGAAGAAAAGAGUUGAUGUUUCGAGUCCUCAUGACCCUUCAACAGAACUGACUUAAUGUGCAAUCUGAUGCUGACCUCAAACAUGCCUUUUCAGGGUACCAAAAAAGUAAUUAGGCUCUUGAAGUGAGCAAGCCACUUUAUCGUUGUUGGACAUGCUUGCCAGGGAGAUGAAAUAUUUUGUUCAGUGCUGUUAAUCGUGAUUGUUUGAUUUAUGUUUAUUGAACUCCGCAUGGCGCAUCCUUUUGGCACGAUCGUAAACCUUUCGCUCCUGCUGCAAGUUAAUAGGUAGAUCCUUGUGGGUGUGUACUUCCGAGUGCAGCAGAUGGGAACAAGCAAUUCUUAAUUCUUUGUUACUUGAAGAAAAUCUUGAACUAGCAUUCAUCUGAGCGUUCAUUGUUUCCUUUCAUAUCGGAAGUAUGAAAGCAAAAUAAUGGUGUGCAAUGUAUAUAGACUGAAUUGAACUGUCAAUUUUUCUGGUCCUCCUACUUAACAUGGGUACAAAUGCAUUGUGUCAACAAUGUUUAUUCCAAUGUUCAAUAAAUCUCGGCAUUCUCAAGUG